GCCCGGGGCAGGCUGUCCCCGCGGCCCCAAAGGAUAAAAGAAGAGCCGCUCUGGGCUGGGUAAUCGGGGAUUAGGCGUUUCCACUCGAGUGAUAAUCCAGUGGGAUAAUUCUACAAUUAUCUUCAUCAGAGAGGGACACACUGUACUCUUUCCACCCACUGAUGGAGCAAUCACUGGUUGAAUAAUGUCUAUUCAAACAAGCUUACACUGUGAAACCAGCUCAGCAAGGCCUACCUGGAGGAUACAAAGAUGGAGUGACGUUGAACUGGAAAGAAGAGGCAAGAGAGAAAUAUUGUUUCCUUGAGGAGGGGAUGGGUGGUCCAAAGCUAGAAUUAACACAGGCACUUGGACACCUGGUCCCUUUUCUGCACCACUUCAGCAAUCAGCUAAGGUUAAACACUUUGAUAGCCUUGAACUUUCUAAAUUCUCUAUCAGGCCCUGACAAGCCUGUCCUGGGAUUUUGUAAUGGAAGGAAGAUUGGACAAAGCACCAGGUGACCUGGGUUCUGUUCCUAGCUCUGCCCCUAACUAGCUCUGUGACCUAAAAGAAGGACAACAACCCUUUUGUGCCUCAGUUUCCUUAUUUGUAAAAUAAAAGGG
Kogia breviceps (pygmy sperm whale) is the source of this 599-nucleotide non-coding RNA. The record is from RefSeq and is a predicted model, not a curated record. NCBI's taxonomy places the organism in Eukaryota, Metazoa, Chordata, Mammalia, Artiodactyla, Physeteridae.